RNAcentral lists this long non-coding RNA (5980 nucleotides) under Setaria italica (foxtail millet). RNAcentral describes it as "long non-coding RNA (SITA_LNC001273)". Lineage: Eukaryota; Viridiplantae; Streptophyta; Magnoliopsida; Poales; Poaceae. The record is from RNAcentral.
UUUAUCCAUUUUGAUGGGGGACAUGGAGCGCUUCACAAAGGAGCAGGACGAGGCAUUGCAGUUCCUCACCUCCCUAAAGCGACUCCAAUUGUAUUGCCGCAAGCUGCAGUGCCUCCCGGCGGGCCUACAGAAACUGGCAAACCUCGAAACAUUAGUGAUUCCCGGCACUCCAGCCAUUAUCCACUCCCUGCACAGGGGCAGCCUCCCGGAUUCCCUGCAAGAAUUAUUAAUCACCGGAGGAGGCUUCCAGUCACUGCCCAAGGACAGCCUCCCUAACUCCCUGCGAAAAUUAUCAAUCUACAACUGCUCAGCCAUCCGCUCACUGCCCAAGGAGAGCCUCCCUAAUUCCCUGCAAGAAUUAGGGAUCUCCUGCUGCUCAGCCAUCCGCUCACUGCCCAAGGAGGGCCUCCCUGAUUCCCUGCAAGAAUUAGAGAUCUCCGACUGUCCAGCCAUCCGGGCGCUCCCCAAGGGUGGCCUCCCAAGUUCACUGCAGGUGUUAGAUGUCUGCCGUGGCAACAGCGAGGACCUAAGAAGGUAGUGCCGCAAGCUGAUUGGAACCGUUCCAGUAGUCAGAGCCUGAUCAAUCAAGGUAGCAUGCACUUUCCUGUGUUCUACUCGUUCCACUAAUUUCACCUGCUUCAAUUUUCCUAACCUCAUGCUCGUUCUGUUUAUUUCAACGCAGUCACUGCUCCAUAUAAUCCACUUGUUCUUACUCAGUAUUACUCUGCAGGUCUCUGUUUCAAAUGUGCAUUCAUCUAACUCAUACGAUUUGCUCUCUAUCGGUUAUUCGGUUCAUAGUUACGAGCUGUAAGGUAUGAACAUUUUAUCAGCAGGUGCCUUCCACACCGUAAAUAAAUUGGUUUGUACAUACACCAUUUAGCAGUUUAAUCCUAGUUUACUAAUAAAGUUUUAUCAUUCCUUUUUUUUCCCUUUCUUUAGCAGAGCUCUUCUUGGAACUGUACAUUCCUGUAGCCUUAUAGAAAUCUUUCUAUAUCGAUGGACGAUUCUGUGUAAUAAAACUGGUUAGUACAUUUUAACUGUACCAUUCAGAAGUUAAGUUCACAUCGUGCUCCUUGCUAUUUUGUUACUCUGAUUUUUUUUUCCUUUCUAGUCCUUGACUAGAUCAGUCUAGUAUGAGAGUCGGUGCAACUAUUGAUAGAUACAAAACUUUGCAGUACCCUGUUGUUCGAGUCUCGAAGUUUUAAACCUUCAAAAAUAAGCUUCAUCCUCUGUACUUUAGCUUCAGUAAUUUUCAUUCCUAAUCUACUUAUUCGGCAAAUACAUGAGUUUAGCCAAUUUAAGAGAACCUGCUUGGAUUACUGCUUAUUGCCUUGAGGUACUACUGCUGCAGGGUACAGUUAUACACCUUUAUGUUUUUUACACUGAAACUAGUAGUAGUUCUGUACUCUGAUAUUCUGGGCCCUUCGAACCCAUCCAUUUUUUAGCCUCAUAAUAUUCUACUUCUAUACUGUACGUAUUAGUCACCCAUGGUCCUAUACUCCUAUACUCUACAUAGAAGUCAACUUGAAACUUCCAUCCUGUGCAUAAGACUGGUUAGUAUAUGCAAAGUCACCCAUAGUCCUGUACUCCUACACUUAGAAGUUCAGUCCACAUAUUAGCUUCUACAUGUUUCUCUGGUUAAUUAUUUGGGCAUCCAGGGAAAUUACAUGAUGCAUUUGUAUCUCAAUCGUAUGGUUAUCCCUUUUCAUGCACUAUGAUAAUUACUUGUUAAUUCUGGACUUUGAAAUUCUAAUUUCUGUGCCCAAUGUAUGACUAUCUUGUUGUUCAGGUUUGUGGCUUACAUGCUACUCGGCUGCACUUCCUUAUUGUGGACGAAACUUCUCUUUGGCAGAUGUUGCUGCACCAAUGAUCUUUGAAUAGGUUAGUACCGUCAAUUUUCUUCACUAAUUUUGCAUAAUGGACCUUGCGUCAGUAUGCUGUUCAUCAGUAAUUGUAGCCAAAUAGCCAAUUAUAUUUUGAUUACAUAGAGACAGGACUACAAGAGCUAGCAGAUAUGCUGUUAUAGUUGUUUUGAAGCUAAUCUCUAUUAGACAUGUAUAGCCCAAUCAACCAUAGGUUGUUGUAUUCUUGUGACUAAAGUUGUUUAUGCAUAGAAAUUCAGUCGAUUUGAGCUACAAAUGUUUACACCACCCUGCACCUUAAUGAUGCAAAUGUCAGUCGUCAUUCACAAGCUCCUAAGGUUUUGCAAAUCAUUGCACUUUUCAUAUUUUCACCUUCACAUAUAUGUUAACUCCUUGUUUUGUUGCUGUGCCACUUUGCAAAAAAGUUUCUAUUUUGUAAGGAUUUCCCAUGACAGAGUAGUGUGAUCUUUGUUUGCUACCAUGCUAACUAGUAGCUACUGACACUAGGAAGAACUUUGCUAUUAUUUACACAGUAUCGUUGUCAAGAUUAGCGGAUCAAGACUAUGGCUAGUGAAUUUUCUUUUAUGCGCGUAAGGCUUCGGAUGGUGACGUGGGAAGACACGGGAUUAGAUUGUUUCGGGCGAGGAAAGCCCUACGUCCAGUAUGAGGAGCUGCUCGUGUUGCCCACGCGAGGUCUGUAGUAGGGGGUACAAACGGGCGAGAGAGGGAGCCGGUCCCAAGUCUCUUGGGUGUGCACUGAUGCUCUAAAGGUGAGUGUGUGUGUUCUGUUGGCUUCAGAGUCCUCCCGGUAUUGGGGCCCCUGGUUCUCCUUUUAUAGCGCAAGGAGGGCUCAGGGUUACAGGUGAACCGAGUGUGAGGAGAAGUAAAAGAGAUAAGCUACGUAAAGUAAAGUACAAGGAGAAGGAUCAAGUCCCCGGGUCGCCGCCUCCUGCUCCGGCCUUCGGCUCCUGUCAGCGCGUCCACCGAAGGAGGACGGCUGUCUUCGGAUCCUAUCGACGAGCUUCGUGGCGACUGCUGCCGCCAAGCAUGAUGAUGGUGUUCGGUCGUGGAAACUGUGCACGUUGGGGGAGACGGCUGAACCCUGUUGUCCUGCUUACUACGGUCCGUGGGACACGGACGUCGCGUCCCUGUCGCCGGAUACGCGGGGUGCGAGAACGGGCGGAGCUCCCUCCUGUGCCGGGCGGCGCAUGCCAUGAGUGCCCUAUGAUGAAUCAGGGGGAGCCGCGGCCACUGUAGCCUGUGCGGUCGUGGCUACAGUGUUUCGUCCGGGUACUUGUGGCGGUCAUGUCGAGGGGUGCGGGCGCCUUUCCGCGCGCCAGAGCCGCGGCGCAUUUAUGGCAAGAUCGGUGAGGGGCCCACGAGAUCCACGCCCUCGUCUGCCGGUCUGCACCCGAGGUGGACCCUUGUCUUGUGGGUCCGGAUGAGUCCGACCCCCUACGCCCGGGGUUGGGCGAGGCGGAACCUUGCGGCGAGGGGUCGGGCGCAUCCGACCCUGGGACCGUGGGUCGGGCGAGAUGGAGUUUUGCCAUCGAGGGGUCGGGAGUGUCCGACCCCAGUACCCUGGGUCGGGCGAGACGGAGCUGGAUGUUCCCUGCCCAUGCUGGGCAGGCGGCAAUCGUCAUCACCGCAGGUGGACCUGGACCUUCAUGAUUGUUGUAUUAAGGGCAUUAGGAUUUUGUUAAUAUUUCCCCCCAACACACAGCUAAUGUGAAAAUUUCUGUGAAAUUUCUGGUGUUCCUUUAGUUUUGCAGAUCAUCUCUUUGGAGGACGUGUGGACACAGAACCUAUGUAUGUUGGAAAAACUCCUUCCUGGGUUUCAAGUGCUCAUCUGUUCCCUGCUUCUAUUCAACGACUUGGCCGCGUCCUGCUAUUGUCUAUUUGCACAAGCAGCCAUUUUGAGCAGCUUUGUACUGAAUGCGCCUUCAGAUUGCCCUCAAGUUCAUCAGAGUUUCCAUGUGCAUCCGCUAAUCAUCACGGUUGUAGACACUCAUGACCUAGAUACGUGGUUAGUGUUGCAAUCCUGCUCUUGUCUGCCGUGAUACAAGUAGUAUACUCCAAAUAUUGUUUUCCCUCAAUAAAUAUUGAUCAAGUAUUUACAACUAUGUAGCUAACCUGACUAGCAGGAAUUUUUUUUGUCCAGACGCGGCUUGACAAGAUCACAGAUAUCUUCAAAGAGAUUUACUUCUAUUCGUCAGGCUAGAAGUUGGACAAGUCUCUCAUGUUCCUACCAGGAUGCAAGGACGACACUGGACUGAACCAUCAAGAGAAAGUUUGCUCCCGGUAAGAUUCUAAUAGGCACGACACCGGUUCAAUAAGUCAUCCCAAAAGCUCGAAGCAUGCCCAAAGCCAUCCACCAUUCUACUGCAUCACAUCUUUUGAAUGUCCUCGUGCACUAAUCUCUAGGGGAGCAAAGAGAGCAGCUUCUCAAAGUGAAAAAACAAACUGACAACCUUUUCUGAUAUCCAAGACUAUUGUUCGUGUUCAUAAGUAAAAUGUGUUUGAACACUGAAAGCAUAUCUAAAAAAUUUGGCAUUCGGCCAAAAGGCACGCCCUCAAUUUGCAUGAGCUUUUUAUAUUCCCUUCGAAUUUGGUGUUACUGCAAAGUUUCUGUUAUUUUUGUAUUAUUGUAUUGUGCAGAACAAUUUCAUCCAGAACAGAACAGAGCAUGUUAUUGUGUAAUGUCUUUGAAAGAUAAUUUUCUUGUUAAAAAACUAAAGUAAUGUAGUAUUGGAAUUUUCAUGGUACAUUUUUUGAAGGGAAAAGUUUUUUUGUACAUGAUCAUACUAUAAAAUCUAUGGAAUUCAGAAUGUACCUCUGGGUAGCAUGUGGUGUUCUCAAGCUUCUCAAAUUUCCCACUUAUCGGCUUAUCCGGCAUUGGCGCGAGCCAAACAAAACCCGGGGAAAAGGGUGCGGAAAGCAAGGGAUAAUUUGGCGCUGCGGGUGCGGCGAGUCGUCGUGCCCAGAGUGGGCCGUCGUGGAGCUGCAGGGUGUGGUGCAGGCCUCAUGCCCUCAUUCGCCAGUGACAUACUGGGACUCCACAUUGGCCACCUCGGCUCCACCCCCUCGCCCUCCUCCUCUUCCAAGGCAAGGACCCCGAGAUCCCGUCCCUUGUCCCCUCUUGGUGUCUGGUUCCUUUUCUGAAGCUGUUAUUGAUGCAACGCGGCGGUCGUUGCAGGCUGGGUACACCUUCACGAUGGGGUACCGCGAGCUCGCCGGGAUGAAGGUGACGCUCAAGAAGCCUCUGCUUGUGCUCAGGAAGAAGGUGAGUGGCGGUGGUGGUGCCGGGGAUCAAGAGUCACCGUCGUCGGCGGAUGUGGAGCUGGAGGUGAUUGUCAUCAUCCGGCACAAGAUCCUCUUCAAGGACCGUCCCAAGGCCCUCAUCUCAAGUAACUGGGACUCCAAUUGUAUUGCCGCAAGCUGCAGUGCCUCCCGGCGGGCCUACAGAAACUGGCAAACCUCGAAACAUUAGUGAUUCCCGGCACUCCAGGCAUUAUCCACUCCCUGCACAGGGGCAGCCUCCCUGAUUCCCUGCAAGAAUUAUUAAUCACCGGAGGAGGCUUCCAGUCACUGCCCAAGGACAGCCUCCCUAACUCCCUGCGAAAAUUAUCAAUCUACAACUGCUCAGCCAUCCGCUCACUGCCCAAGGAGAGCCUCCCUAAUUCCCUGCAAGAAUUGGAGAUCGACAGCUGUCCAGCCAUCCGGGCGCUCCCCAAGGGCGGCCUCCCAAGUUCACUGCAGAUAUUAGAUGUCCGGGAUGGCAACAGCGAGGACCUAAGAAGGCAGUGCCGCAAGCUGAUUGGAACCGUUCCAGUAGUCAGAGCCUGAUCAAUCAAGGUAACAUGCACUUUCCUGUGUUCUACUCGUUCCACUAAUUUCACCUGCUUCAAUUUUCCUAACCUCAUGCUCGUUCUGUUUAUUCAACGCAGUCACUGCUCCAUAUAAUCCACUUGUUCUUACUCAGUAUUACUCUGCAGGUCUCUGUUUCAAAUGUGCGUUCAUCUAACUCAUACGAUUUGCUCUCUAUCGGUUAUUCGGUUCAUAGUUACGAGCUGUUAGGUAUGAACAUUUUGUCAGCAUGUGCUUUCCACACCGUAAAU